Molecule: long non-coding RNA, 438 nt
Organism: Thunnus maccoyii (southern bluefin tuna)
Lineage: Eukaryota; Metazoa; Chordata; Actinopteri; Scombriformes; Scombridae
Exons: 3
Source: RefSeq, a predicted model, not a curated record
ACAUCACAGCCCAGCAACUGCAGAUAUUCCACACUGCAGCCCUGAAGCUGUUGAUGAGAGCUGUAGAAUACGCUCUACAAAGUCUGCCUCUGAGAGACCCCUUGCUGAAGCAUGCCAGAUUUGUGGAUGUGAGGCAGAGGGCAGAAUGUUGGGUAGAGGAUGCCCUUUACUUUGUGCAGAGGUACGUCCACUGUCUCCCCUACCACAGCCCACAGGAACAUGACGCACUGGGGGAGGAGUUCUUAGACUAUCAGACGAUGCCUAUGCCUAGUUUGGCAGCAGACCCAGACAUUGAGAGCUUCUGAGCCAACAUGGCAAGCUUAAAACACAAGGUGACAGGGGUGGGCAGGUUUGAGAGACUCUCUGUUAAUGCUAAAGUGGUAUUAGUCCUGUUACACUCCAUUGCUGACGGGUAUUUGGUGGGCUGAACAAAACAAA